UACGGGGGGGGCAAGCGUUGUUCGGAAUUACUGGGCGUAAAGGGCUCGUAGGUGGCCAACUAAGUCAGACGUGAAAUCCCUCGGCUUAACCGGGGAACUGCGUCUGAUACUGGAGGGCUUGAGUUCGGGAGAGGGAUGCGGAAUUCCAGGUGUAGCGGUGAAAUGCGUAGAUAUCUGGAGGAACACCGGUGGCGAAGGCGGCAUCCUGGACCGACACUGACACUGAGGAGCGAAAGCCAGGGGAGCAAACGGG
This 253-nucleotide ribosomal RNA is filed under the name uncultured bacterium. Its description in RNAcentral is "partial 16S ribosomal RNA". It matches the Rfam family "Bacterial small subunit ribosomal RNA", at positions 524 to 776 of the family's 1533-position model. The record is from RNAcentral.